RNAcentral lists this ribosomal RNA (1164 nucleotides) under Ascomycota sp. AFTOL 884b. RNAcentral's name for it is "SSU rRNA". It matches the Rfam family "Eukaryotic small subunit ribosomal RNA", at positions 132 to 1304 of the family's 1831-position model. Lineage: Eukaryota; Fungi; Ascomycota. The record is from RNAcentral.
UUACUACUUGGAUAACCGUGGUAAUUCUAGAGCUAAUACAUGCUAAAAACCUCGACUUCGGAAGGGGUGUAUUUAUUAGAUAAAAAACCAAUGCCCUUCGGGGCUCCUUGGUGAUUCAUGAUAACUUAACGAAUCGCAUGGCCUUGUGCCGGCGAUGGUUCAUUCAAAUUUCUGCCCUAUCAACUUUCGAUGGUAGGAUAGUGGCCUACCAUGGUUUCAACGGGUAACGGGGAAUUAGGGUUCUAUUCCGGAGAGGGAGCCUGAGAAACGGCUACCACAUCCAAGGAAGGCAGCAGGCGCGCAAAUUACCCAAUCCCGACACGGGGAGGUAGUGACAAUAAAUACUGAUACGGAGCUCUUUUGGGUUUCGUAAUUGGAAUGAGUACAAUUUAAAUCCCUUAACGAGGAACAAUUGGAGGGCAAGUCUGGUGCCAGCAGCCGCGGUAAUUCCAGCUCCAAUAGCGUAUAUUAAAGUUGUUGCAGUUAAAAAGCUCGUAGUUGAACCUUGGGCCUGGCUGGCCGGUCCGCCUCACCGCGUGCACUGGUCCGGCCGGGCCUUUCCUUCUGGGGAACCGCAUGCCCUUCACUGGGUGUGUCGGGGAUCCAGGACUUUUACUUUGAAAAAAUUAGAGUGUUCAAAGCAGGCCUAUGCUCGAAUACAUUAGCAUGGAAUAAUAGAAUAGGACGUGUGGUUCUAUUUUGUUGGUUUCUAGGACCGCCGUAAUGAUUAAUAGGGAUAGUCGGGGGCAUCAGUAUUCAAUUGUCAGAGGUGAAAUUCUUGGAUUUAUUGAAGACUAACUACUGCGAAAGCAUUUGCCAAGGAUGUUUUCAUUAAUCAGUGAACGAAAGUUAGGGGAUCGAAGACGAUCAGAUACCGUCGUAGUCUUAACCAUAAACUAUGCCGACUAGGGAUCGGGCGAUGUUAUUAUUUUGACUCGCUCGGCACCUUACGAGAAAUCAAAGUUUUUGGGUUCUGGGGGGAGUAUGGUCGCAAGGCUGAAACUUAAAGAAAUUGACGGAAGGGCACCACCAGGAGUGGAGCCUGCGGCUUAAUUUGACUCAACACGGGGAAACUCACCAGGUCCAGACACAAUAAGGAUUGACAGAUUGAGAGCUCUUUCUUGAUUUUGUGGGUGGUGGUGCAUGGCCGUUCCUAGUUGGUGG